GAUGAACGCUGACAGAAUGCUUAACACAUGCAAGUCUUUGGCGAAGCUGUGCUUGCACAGCCUAGCCAAGGCGGACGGGUGAAUAACGCGUAAGGAACUUGCCCUGCAGUCAGGGAUAACAGACGGAAACGACUGAUAAGACCUGGUAAAGUCAGGCGGACUCAUGUCCAGCCUGAUGAAAAGAGAUGCUGCAGGAGAGCCUUGCGUCCUAUUAGCUUGUUGGUGGGGUAACGGCCCACCAAGGCGAUGAUAGGUAGCCGGCCUGAGAGGGUGGACGGCCACAAGGGGACUGAGAUACGGCCCUUACUCCUACGGGAGGCAGCAGUGGGGAAUAUUGGACAAUGGGGGCAACCCUGAUCCAGCAAUUCUGUGUGCACGAUGAAGGUUUUCGGAUUGUAAAGUGCUUUCAGCAGGGAAGAAAAAAAUGACGGUACCUGCAGAAGAAGCGACGGCUAAAUACGUG
Molecule: ribosomal RNA, 463 nt
Filed under: uncultured bacterium
Lineage: Bacteria
Description: partial 16S ribosomal RNA
Rfam family: Bacterial small subunit ribosomal RNA
Source: RNAcentral